RNAcentral lists this ribosomal RNA (321 nucleotides) under Attheya septentrionalis. RNAcentral describes it as "partial Eukaryotic large subunit ribosomal RNA". It matches the Rfam family "Eukaryotic large subunit ribosomal RNA", at positions 1533 to 1845 of the family's 3401-position model. Lineage: Eukaryota; Bacillariophyta; Biddulphiophyceae; Attheyales; Attheyaceae. The record is from RNAcentral.
GGUUAGUCGAUCCUAAGAGAUAGGAAAGCUCCGUUAGCAGUGUGCGCUCCUCGGAACGCGCUGUCUGUCGAAAGGGAAGCGGGUUAAUAUUCCCGCACCAGGACGUGGAUACUGAGUGGCAACACAAGCAAAGCUAGAGACGCCGGCGGGGACCCUGGGGAGAGUUCUCUUUUCUUGUUAACAGCGCGGCAGGCCCUGGAAUCGGAUUACCCGGCGAUAGGGCGUGGCGGCUGGCAAAGCAGUCUAAUCUUCGGACUGUCCGGUGCGUUCCCGACGGUCCUUGAAAAUCUAGCGGCGUGAUUUAUUCGCACCCCUGGUCGU